UACCUGGUUGAUCCUGCCAGUAGUCAUAUGCUUGUCUCAAAGAUUAAGCCGUGCAUGUCUCAGAAUAAGUCUUUACACGUCGAAUCUGCGAAUGGCUCAUUAAAACAGUUAUAGUUUAUUUGAUGGUCAAUUGCUAUAUGGAUAACUGUGGUAAUUCUAGAGCUAAUACAUGCGUAAAAACCCGACUUCACGGAAGGGUUGUAUUUAUUAGAUACAGAGCCAAUCCCGCUUGCGGGUUUUUGGAUGAUUCAUAAUAAAUGAACGGAGCUAAUGCCAUUGGCGUAGCUGUGUCAUUCAAGUUUCUGACCUAUCAGCUUUCGAUGGUAGGGUAUUGGCCUACCAUGGCCUUGACGGGUAACGGAGAAUUAGGGUUCGAUUCCGGAGAGGGAGCCCGAGAAACGGCUACCACAUCUAAGGAAGGCAGCAGGCGCGCAAAUUACCCAAUCCUGACAUAGGGAGGUAGUGACAAGAAAUAACAAAGUAAGCCACAAUCGUGGUUUUACUAUUGGAAUGAGUAGAAUUUAAAUCUCUUUACGACUAUCAAUUGGAGGGCAAGUCUGGUGCCAGCAGCCGCGGUAAUUCCAGCUCCAAUAGC
RNAcentral lists this ribosomal RNA (595 nucleotides) under uncultured marine eukaryote. RNAcentral describes it as "SSU rRNA". It matches the Rfam family "Eukaryotic small subunit ribosomal RNA", at positions 1 to 598 of the family's 1831-position model. The record is from RNAcentral.